AGGGGGAGUAACAGUCAGAAAUGGCUGCUAAUACCGCAUAAGCGCACAGAGCUGCAUGGCUCAGUGGUCAAAGGAGCAAUCCGCUGAAAGAUGGACUCGCGUCCGAUUAGUUAGUUGGUGAGGUAACGGCUCACCAAGACCGCGAUCGGUAGCCGGACUGAGAGGUUGAACGGCCACAUUGGGACUGAGACACGGCCCAGACUCCUACGGGAGGCAGCAUG
RNAcentral lists this ribosomal RNA (221 nucleotides) under uncultured bacterium. Its description in RNAcentral is "partial 16S ribosomal RNA". It matches the Rfam family "Bacterial small subunit ribosomal RNA", at positions 135 to 353 of the family's 1533-position model. The record is from RNAcentral.